This 82-nucleotide transfer RNA is filed under the name Cytophaga sp. Its description in RNAcentral is "tRNA-Leu". It matches the Rfam family "tRNA". From Rfam's summary of the family: Transfer RNA (tRNA) molecules are approximately 80 nucleotides in length. Their secondary structure includes four short double-helical elements and three loops (D, anti-codon, and T loops). Further hydrogen bonds mediate the characteristic L-shaped molecular structure. tRNAs have two regions of fundamental functional importance: the anti-codon, which is responsible for specific mRNA codon recognition, and the 3' end, to which the tRNAs corresponding amino acid is attached (by aminoacyl-tRNA synthetases). tRNAs cope with the degeneracy of the genetic code in two manners: having more than one tRNA (with a specific anti-codon) for a particular amino acid; and 'wobble' base-pairing, i.e. permitting non-standard base-pairing at the 3rd anti-codon position. RNAcentral also lists the same sequence under 1 other name. Lineage: Bacteria; Pseudomonadati; Bacteroidota; Cytophagia; Cytophagales; Cytophagaceae. The record is from RNAcentral.
GCCUGGAUGGCGGAACUGGUAGACGCGCACGACUCAAAAUCGUGUACCGUGAGGUGUGUCGGUUCGAUUCCGACUCUAGGUA